RNAcentral lists this ribosomal RNA (799 nucleotides) under Salmonella enterica. Its description in RNAcentral is "partial 23S ribosomal RNA". It matches the Rfam family "Bacterial large subunit ribosomal RNA", at positions 711 to 1512 of the family's 2925-position model. RNAcentral also lists the same sequence under 1 other name. The record is from RNAcentral. Lineage: Bacteria; Pseudomonadati; Pseudomonadota; Gammaproteobacteria; Enterobacterales; Enterobacteriaceae.
AGACCCGAAACCCGGUGAUCUAGCCAUGGGCAGGUUGAAGGUUGGGUAACACUAACUGGAGGACCGAACCGACUAAUGUUGAAAAAUUAGCGGAUGACCUGUGGCUGGGGGUGAAAGGCCAAUCAAACCGGGAGAUAGCUGGUUCUCCCCGAAAGCUAUUUAGGUAGCGCCUCGUGAAUUCAUCUCCGGGGGUAGAGCACUGUUUCGGCUAGGGGGCCAUCCCGGCUUACCAACCCGAUGCAAACUGCGAAUACCGGAGAAUGUUAUCACGGGAGACACACGGCGGGUGCUAACGUCCGUCGUGAAGAGGGAAACAACCCAGACCGCCAGCUAAGGUCCCAAAGUCAUGGUUAAGUGGGAAACGAUGUGGGAAGGCCCAGACAGCCAGGAUGUUGGCUUAGAAGCAGCCAUCAUUUAAAGAAAGCGUAAUAGCUCACUGGUCGAGUCGGCCUGCGCGGAAGAUGUAACGGGGCUAAACCAUGCACCGAAGCUGCGGCAGCGACACUGUGUGUUGUUGGGUAGGGGAGCGUUCUGUAAGCCUGUGAAGGUGUGUCGUGAGGCAUGCUGGAGGUAUCAGAAGUGCGAAUGCUGACAUAAGUAACGAUAAAGCGGGUGAAAAGCCCGCUCGCCGGAAGACCAAGGGUUCCUGUCCAACGUUAAUCGGGGCAGGGUGAGUCGACCCCUAAGGCGAGGCCGAAAGGCGUAGUCGAUGGGAAACGGGUUAAUAUUCCCGUACUUGGUGUUACUGCGAAGGGGGGACGGAGAAGGCUAUGUUGGCCGGGCGACGGUUGUCCCGGUU